This 933-nucleotide long non-coding RNA is filed under the name Gallus gallus (chicken). Its description in RNAcentral is "lncRNA (ENSGALG00010001622.1)". Lineage: Eukaryota; Metazoa; Chordata; Aves; Galliformes; Phasianidae. The record is from RNAcentral.
GCAAAGGCCAAAGGAGCAGUGGGCUGUUUGUGCUUGGAAGUCUCUGUGAUGCUGGCAAAGGUCUGAUGGUGAAACAGCCUCAGCUGUGGUUACUCUGGUUGCUGUUGGUGGUCCCAGCUAACAGCAGCAGCAGCUUCUACACGGGGCAGGAAGUGAGGAAAUUCACCUUUUUUCCUCUAAAGUUAUUUGAGGAAUUGUUCUGGCUGCUGAAUUGGUUUUCUGCUGACUUGCAAGCAAACUCUGUGCGCCCAGGGGGGUCUUGUCCUUGGCUGUCAGAAAGCCAUGGUCCCACCUCCCAGAAGCAAAGAAGGAAGCAAAUUUUAAGUAUUUAUUUAUUUUCCAGAGGCCUUGGAGAAGAUUGUGAUAGCCCUAACCAGGUGGUUGCUAUUUCAUUCCAGACUCUGACCCCAAAGCCUGGAUGUGCUUGCGAAGCACAGAAAGGGCAUGAGCUGGAACUCUAAGACAAUGCAUUAGAUUUCGUUCUCCAUGUGGCUUGUCGACACCAUCUUGCCAGGUGGCUUGGUUUUUAACUCCAUUUCUACUUAGACCACAUUUCUGAUCUGGGAGGGAUGAACAAGGCCUACCAGCUUCAAAAGGAUACUAAUGCUAAUCCCCAGUUUGAAUCUCUUCUGCCUAUGGGAAAGCCAGAUGUGAUCAGAUCGAGAGGUCACCUCAUGCCAAGGCAGUAACCCCCAUUGGUUCUUGAGCUGUGAGACCCAUUAUCUGGUGUCUUCUCUCAGUGCUGCUGAAUGCAUUUUACCUGUAUUGAAGGAAUCACUAAAAGAAAUGAACAAGAGUGAGCUGCAAACUUCUAAUGGUUGUUAAUGGCUGGGUCUUUGCAAUGCAAAUGUAGAGACCAGCCUGAACAUUACACAGUCAAGUCGGCCUGGAGAAAGUACAUUCCAUGCAAGGUAGAAAUGAGAAGAACACGUU